AAUUCCUACGGGAGGCAGCAGUAGGGAAUCUUCCGCAAUGGACGAAAGUCUGACGGAGCAACGCCGCGUGAGUGAUGAAGGUUUUCGGAUCGUAAAACUCUGUUGUUAGGGAAGAACAAGUACCGUUCGAAUAGGGCGGUACCUUGACGGUACCUAACCAGAAAGCCACGGCUAACUACGUGCCAGCAGCCGCGGUAAUACGUAGGUGGCAAGCGUUGUCCGGAAUUAUUGGGCGUAAAGCGCGCGCAGGCGGUUUCUUAAGUCUGAUGUGAAAGCCCCCGGCUCAACCGGGGAGGGUCAUUGGAAACUGGGGAACUUGAGUGCAGAAGAGGAGAGUGGAAUUCCACGUGUAGCGGUGAAAUGCGUAGAGAUGUGGAGGAACACCAGUGGCGAAGGCGACUCUCUGGUCUGUAACUGACGCUGAGGCGCGAAAGCGUGGGGAGCGAACAGGAUUAGAUACCCUGGUAGUCCACGCCGUAAACGAUGAGUGCUAAGUGUUAGAGGGUUUCCGCCCUUUAGUGCUGCAGCAAACGCAUUAAGCACUCCGCCUGGGGAGUACGGUCGCAAGACUGAAACUCAAAGGAAUUGACGGGGGCCCGCACAAGCGGUGGAGCAUGUGGUUUAAUUCGAAGCAACGCGAAGAACCUUACCAGGUCUUGACAUCCUCUGACAACCCUAGAGAUAGGGCUUCCCCUUCGGGGGCAGAGUGACAGGUGGUGCAUGGUUGUCGUCAGCUCGUGUCGUGAGAUGUUGGGUUAAGUCCCGCAACGAGCGCAACCCUUGAUCUUAGUUGCCAGCAUUCAGUUGGGCACUCUAAGGUGACUGCCGGUGACAAACCGGAGGAAGGUGGGGAUGACGUCAAAUCAUCAUGCCCCUUAUGACCUGGGCUACACACGUGCUACAAUGGGCAGAACAAAGGGCAGCGAAGCCGCGAGGCUAAGCCAAUCCCACAAAUCUGUUCUCAGUUCGGAUCGCAGUCUGCAACUCGACUGCGUGAAGCUGGAAUCG
RNAcentral lists this ribosomal RNA (1008 nucleotides) under Bacillus licheniformis. RNAcentral's name for it is "bacterial SSU rRNA". It matches the Rfam family "Bacterial small subunit ribosomal RNA", at positions 334 to 1334 of the family's 1533-position model. The record is from RNAcentral. Lineage: Bacteria; Bacillati; Bacillota; Bacilli; Caryophanales; Bacillaceae.